AUUGAACGCUGGCGGCAGGCCUAACACAUGCAAGUCGAACGGUAACAGGAAACAGCUUGCUGUUUUGCUGACGAGUGGCGGACGGGUGAGUAAUGUCUGGGAAACUGCCUGAUGGAGGGGGAUAACUACUGGAAACGGUAGCUAAUACCGCAUAACGUCGCAAGACCAAAGAGGGGGACCUUCGGGCCUCUUGCCAUCGGAUGUGCCCAGAUGGGAUUAGCUAGUAGGUGGGGUAACGGCUCACCUAGGCGACGAUCCCUAGCUGGUCUGAGAGGAUGACCAGCCACACUGGAACUGAGACACGGUCCAGACUCCUACGGGAGGCAGCAGUGGGGAAUAUUGCACAAUGGGCGCAAGCCUGAUGCAGCCAUGCCGCGUGUAUGAAGAAGGCCUUCGGGUUGUAAAGUACUUUCAGCGGGGAGGAAGGGAGUAAAGUUAAUACCUUUACUCAUUGACGUUACCCGCAGAAGAAGCACCGGCUAACUCCGUGC
This 491-nucleotide ribosomal RNA is filed under the name uncultured bacterium. RNAcentral's name for it is "partial 16S ribosomal RNA". It matches the Rfam family "Bacterial small subunit ribosomal RNA", at positions 30 to 508 of the family's 1533-position model. The record is from RNAcentral.